RNAcentral lists this ribosomal RNA (513 nucleotides) under uncultured bacterium. Its description in RNAcentral is "bacterial SSU rRNA". It matches the Rfam family "Bacterial small subunit ribosomal RNA", at positions 355 to 879 of the family's 1533-position model. The record is from RNAcentral.
UGGGGAAUAUUGCACAAUGGGCGAAAGCCUGAUGCAGCGACGCCGCGUGAGGGAUGACGGCCUUCGGGUUGUAAACCUCUUUCGCACGGGACGAAGCGAGAGUGACGGUACCGUGAGAAGAAGCACCGGCUAACUACGUGCCAGCAGCCGCGGUAAUACGUAGGGUGCGAGCGUUGUCCGGAAUUAUUGGGCGUAAAGAGCUCGUAGGCGGUUUGUCGCGUCUAUCGUGAAAACUGGAGGCUUAACUUUCAGCGUGCGGUGGAUACGGGCAGACUUGAGUUCGGUAGGGGAGACUGGAAUUCCUGGUGUAGCGGUGAAAUGCGCAGAUAUCAGGAGGAACACCGGUGGCGAAGGCGGGUCUCUGGGCCGAAACUGACGCUGAGGAGCGAAAGCGUGGGGAGCGAACAGGAUUAGAUACCCUGGUAGUCCACGCUGUAAACGUUGGGCGCUAGGUGUGGGGAGCAUUCAUGUUUUCCGUGCCGUAGCUAACGCAUUAAGCGCCCCGCCUGGGGA